UUUUUUUUGUGCCAUAGAGGAAUGAACCAAUACCCUAAGCAUGUUGGCAUCUCUAUUGUGGGAAAUUUUAACCUGGAGAGAAGAUUAUAGGAAAUAUGAUUCUGCCAUCCCAAGUCGUGGUUUGAGUAGUGACCGUGGUUUCCAUCUCUGUGCCGAGUGCCGUCCAGAGCUGGGAUGUGAGCAGUUAAGAUGCUCUCAGUGACGGGGAUACAGAUGCCUGGAGAUGGUCAGAAAUGAGAACAUGAGAACUCCAUGAAGAUGUGUGUGUCGUGUGUGUGUGCGCGGGUGGAACACACCGACAUGGAACCCACCGACACAGAGGCUCGACUGUACUAGGCCAUUUCACCUAAGGGACUUGAGCAUCCUUGAAUUUUGGCAACAGUGGGGGUUCCU
Molecule: long non-coding RNA, 393 nt
Organism: Lagenorhynchus albirostris (white-beaked dolphin)
Lineage: Eukaryota; Metazoa; Chordata; Mammalia; Artiodactyla; Delphinidae
Exons: 3
Source: RefSeq, a predicted model, not a curated record